AAACUUUCAACAAUGGAUCUCUUGGUUCCGGCAUCGAUGAAGAACGCAGCGAACUGCGAUAAGUAAUGUGAAUUGCAGAAUUCAGUGAAUCAUCGAGUCUUUGAACGCACAUUGCGCCCCCUGGCAUUCCGGGGGGCAUGCCUGUCCGAGCGUCAUUG
RNAcentral lists this ribosomal RNA (158 nucleotides) under Aspergillus sp. RNAcentral describes it as "5.8S ribosomal RNA". It matches the Rfam family "5.8S ribosomal RNA". Rfam says of the family: 5.8S ribosomal RNA (5.8S rRNA) is a component of the large subunit of the eukaryotic ribosome. It is transcribed by RNA polymerase I as part of the 45S precursor that also contains 18S and 28S rRNA. RNAcentral also lists the same sequence under 51 other names. Lineage: Eukaryota; Fungi; Ascomycota; Eurotiomycetes; Eurotiales; Aspergillaceae. The record is from RNAcentral.